UACGGAGGGUGCGAGCGUUGUCCGGAAUCACUGGGCGUAAAGGGCGCGUAGGCGGCGAGGAUAGUCAACGGUGAAAGCUUGGGGCUCAACCCCGAGUCGGCCGUCGAUACUUCCUUGCUUGAGCACUGUAGAGGCAGAUGGAAUUCCAGGUGUAGUGGUGAAAUACGUAGAUAUCUGGAGGAACACCGGCGGCGAAGGCGGCGACCUGGUCCAAUAUUGACACUCAUACACGAAAGCGUGGGGAUCAAACAGG
Molecule: ribosomal RNA, 253 nt
Filed under: uncultured bacterium
Lineage: Bacteria
Description: partial 16S ribosomal RNA
Rfam family: Bacterial small subunit ribosomal RNA
Source: RNAcentral